RNAcentral lists this transfer RNA (75 nucleotides) under Candidatus Woesearchaeota archaeon. RNAcentral's name for it is "tRNA-Pro". It matches the Rfam family "tRNA". From Rfam's summary of the family: Transfer RNA (tRNA) molecules are approximately 80 nucleotides in length. Their secondary structure includes four short double-helical elements and three loops (D, anti-codon, and T loops). Further hydrogen bonds mediate the characteristic L-shaped molecular structure. tRNAs have two regions of fundamental functional importance: the anti-codon, which is responsible for specific mRNA codon recognition, and the 3' end, to which the tRNAs corresponding amino acid is attached (by aminoacyl-tRNA synthetases). tRNAs cope with the degeneracy of the genetic code in two manners: having more than one tRNA (with a specific anti-codon) for a particular amino acid; and 'wobble' base-pairing, i.e. permitting non-standard base-pairing at the 3rd anti-codon position. Lineage: Archaea; Nanobdellati; Candidatus Woesearchaeota. The record is from RNAcentral.
GGGGCUAUAGUGUAGCUUGGCUUAUCACUCCAGCUCGGGGAGCUGGCAACCCGUGUUCAAAUCACGGUAGCCCCA